UUCUGGUUCUGUGGGAAAGCGAAAAACGGCGUAACGGUACUGCGGUGAAAUGCGUGACAUUUGAAGGCUUAGUUAGUCGUUGGAAAGCCGUCGUUUUAUCAGAUCUUCUAAGAACUCACUGCACACCAUGUGGAUACCAAGUUUCAGGAGGAAUUGUGGCGACCAGGAGGCAGCACACGGACAGUACACAGAGAACAGAGACAGAGCACAGAGCACGGGAUAAGGGAGAAGACACGGAACAGGAGUCGGGAUCGCACUGGGGAUUUAUUGUUGUUUGGAUUUUCACCACUGUAAAUAAACACACUGCC
Oreochromis aureus is the source of this 308-nucleotide long non-coding RNA. The record is from Ensembl. Lineage: Eukaryota; Metazoa; Chordata; Actinopteri; Cichliformes; Cichlidae.